AGUGAACGCUGGCGGUAGGCCUACACCUGCCCGUCGAACGGCAGCACAGUAAGAGCUUGCUCUUACGGGUGGCGAGUGGCGGACGGGUGAGGAAUACAUCGGAAUCUACUUUUUCGUGGGGGAUAACGUAGGGAAACUUACGCUAAUACCGCAUACGACCUACGGGUGAAAGCAGGGGAUCUUCGGACCUUGCGCGAUUGAAUGAGCCGAUGUCGGAUUAGCUAGUUGGCGGGGUAAAGGCCCACCAAGGCGACGAUCCGUAGCUGGUCUGAGAGGAUGAUCAGCCACACUGGGACUGAGACACGGUCCAGACUCCUACGGGAGGCAGCAGUGGGGAAUAUUGGACAAUGGGCGCAAGCCUGAUCCAGCCAUACCGCGUGGGUGAAGAAGGCCUUCGGGUUGUAAAGCCCUUUUGUUGGGAAAGAAAAGCAGCAGGUUAAUACCCCGCUGUUCUGACGGUACCCAAAGAAUAAGCACCGGCUAACUUCGUG
This 491-nucleotide ribosomal RNA is filed under the name uncultured bacterium. RNAcentral's name for it is "partial 16S ribosomal RNA". It matches the Rfam family "Bacterial small subunit ribosomal RNA", at positions 29 to 507 of the family's 1533-position model. The record is from RNAcentral.